AGCGGUAGAGAGAAGCUUGCUUCUCUUGAGAGCGGCGGACGGGUGAGUAAUGCCUAGGAAUCUGCCUGGUAGUGGGGGAUAACGUUCGGAAACGGACGCUAAUACCGCAUACGUCCUACGGGAGAAAGCAGGGGACCUUCGGGCCUUGCGCUAUCAGAUGAGCCUAGGUCGGAUUAGCUAGUUGGUGGGGUAAUGGCUCACCAAGGCGACGAUCCGUAACUGGUCUGAGAGGAUGAUCAGUCACACUGGAACUGAGACACGGUCCAGACUCCUACGGGAGGCAGCAGUGGGGAAUAUUGGACAAUGGGCGAAAGCCUGAUCCAGCCAUGCCGCGUGUGUGAAGAAGGUCUUCGGAUUGUAAAGCACUUUAAGUUGGGAGGAAGGGCAGUUACCUAAUACGUGAUUGUUUUGACGUUACCGACAGAAUAAGCACCGGCUAACUCUGUGCCAGCAGCCGCGGUAAUACAGAGGGUGCAAGCGUUAAUCGGAAUUACUGGGCGUAAAGCGCGCGUAGG
This 515-nucleotide ribosomal RNA is filed under the name Pseudomonas sp. RNAcentral's name for it is "bacterial SSU rRNA". It matches the Rfam family "Bacterial small subunit ribosomal RNA", at positions 65 to 575 of the family's 1533-position model. The record is from RNAcentral. Lineage: Bacteria; Pseudomonadati; Pseudomonadota; Gammaproteobacteria; Pseudomonadales; Pseudomonadaceae.